Molecule: ribosomal RNA, 253 nt
Filed under: uncultured bacterium
Lineage: Bacteria
Description: partial 16S ribosomal RNA
Rfam family: Bacterial small subunit ribosomal RNA
Source: RNAcentral
UACGUAGGGUGCUAGCGUUGUCCGGAAUCACUGGGCGUAAAGGGCGCGUAGGCGGCUCAUGAAGGCUGUGGUGAAAGUCCGGGGCUCAACCUCGGAUCGGCCGUGGCGACUCGUGGGCUGGAGCACUGUAGAGGCGGGUGGAAUUCCGGGUGUAGCGGUGGAAUGCGUAGAGAUCCGGAAGAACACCAGUGGCGAAGGCGGCCCGCUGGGCAGUGGCUGACGCUGAGGCGCGAAAGCGUGGGGAGCAAACAGG